GACGAACGCUGGCGGCGUGCUUAACACAUGCAAGUCGAACGGAAAGGCCCUGCUUUUGUGGGGUGCUCGAGUGGCGAACGGGUGAGUAACACGUGAGUAACCUGCCCUUGACUUUGGGAUAACUUCAGGAAACUGGGGCUAAUACCGGAUAGGAGCUCCUGCUGCAUGGUGGGGGUUGGAAAGUUUCGGCGGUUGGGGAUGGACUCGCGGCUUAUCAGCUUGUUGGUGGGGUAGUGGCUUACCAAGGCUUUGACGGGUAGCCGGCCUGAGAGGGUGACCGGCCACAUUGGGACUGAGAUACGGCCCAGACUCCUACGGGAGGCAGCAGUGGGGAAUAUUGCACAAUGGGCGGAAGCCUGAUGCAGCAACGCCGCGUGCGGGAUGACGGCCUUCGGGUUGUAAACCGCUUUCGCCUGUGACGAAGCGUGAGUGACGGUAAUGGGUAAAGAAGCACCGGCUAACUACGUGCCAGCAGCCGCGGUGAUACGUAGGGUGCGAGCGUUGUCCGGAUUUAUUGGGCGUAAAGGGCUCGUAGGUGGUUGAUCGCGUCGGAAGUGUAAUCUUGGGGCUUAACCCUGAGCGUGCUUUCGAUACGGGUUGACUUGAGGAAGGUAGGGGAGAAUGGAAUUCCUGGUGGAGCGGUGGAAUGCGCAGAUAUCAGGGGGAACACCAGUGGCGAAGGCGGUUCUCUGGGCCUUUCCUGACGCUGAGGAGCGUAAGCGUGGGGAGCGAACAGGCUUAGAUACCCUGGUAGUCCACGCUGUAAACGGUGGGUACUAGGUGUGGGGUCCAUUCCACGGGUUCCGUGCCGUAGCUAACGCUUUAAGUACCCCGCCUGGGGAGUACGGCCGCAAGGCUAAAACUCAAAGGAAUUGACGGGGCCCCGCACAAGCGGCGGAGCAUGCGGAUUAAUUCGAUGCAACGCGUAGAACCUUACCUGGGUUUGACAUGGAUCGGGAGUGCUCAGAGAUGGGUGUGCCUCUUUUGGGGUCGGUUCACAGGUGGUGCAUGCCUGUCGUCAGCUCGUGUCGUGAGAUGUUGGGUUAAGUCCCGCAACGAGCGCAACCCUUGUUCACUGUUGCCAGCACGUUAUGGUGGGGACUCAGUGGAGACCGCCGGGGUCAACUCGGAGGAAGGUGGGGAUGACGUCAAGUCCUCAUGCCCCUUAUGUCCAGGGCUUCACGCAUGCUACAAUGGCUGGUACAGAGAGUGGCGAGCCUGUGAGGGUGAGCGAAUCUCGGAAAGCCGGUCUCAGUUCGGAUUGGGGUCUGCAACUCGACCUCAUGAAGUCGGAGUCGCUAGUAAUCGCAGAUCAGCAACGCUGCGGUGAAUACGUUCCCGGG
RNAcentral lists this ribosomal RNA (1343 nucleotides) under uncultured bacterium. RNAcentral's name for it is "16S ribosomal RNA". It matches the Rfam family "Bacterial small subunit ribosomal RNA", at positions 28 to 1378 of the family's 1533-position model. The record is from RNAcentral.